CCCCCCCCCCCCCCCCCCCCCCCCCCCCCCCCCCCCCCCCCCCCCCCCCCCCCCCCCCCCCCCCCCCCCCCCCCCCCCCCCCCCCCCCCCCCCCCCCCCCCCCCCACCCCCCCGGUUUUUUUAAUUUUAAAUUAUCCAUCUCUCCGGUUGAGCUCUUGCUGUAGGAGCACCAACCCGACGAGCAUCAUUUUCGUCGGUGCAUAGAGGAAAGCUGUAGGUGAAGCCGCAGGAACCCUCUUUGCCUGACAGGAGCUUUACAAAGGAAGGUCAGUCACCAGGUACCCAUUACGCAGGCAAAGGAAGCUGAGACUCAUGCAAAGCCUCUGGCAAAGGUGGAAACAAAACCUCGGGCUGUGAUCCUGCAUUAAAAGCCGUCUGGAUCUGCCUGCCUGGAGCUCCUUACAGAUCAGCAGUCUGGGACUGGACCGGUGAAGACGUAACUCCCUUUGUGCCUGCUGUUACUGCUGAACCCCCAAAACGCUGCCUCUCGCUGCUGCGGGUGCCACCCAGACCUCUCCCACCGCAGCACUUGGUCGCAGCAGGGCUCAACACCCGGCUACUCCCACUGAUGUCUCGAGGACGAGGCAAGAGGCUACUGAUGCUUCUGAUCCCAGCCUGCCUCCCUGCAGGGGGAGACACAAGAGGAGAUGUGGAGAAGUGUUGGAGAAGAGCAGAGGACAAAGCUAGAGGAGCGGGCUGCUACAGAAACCAGCUUCACUUCUUGGCAUCGCAUUCUGCUGCAGCGUGGCUCCAGAGCAUUUGUCAGAUACCGAACUGCAGGUUCCAGUCCUGCUGACCACCACCUAUGAUGAGGAGAUCCCCAGACUCCAGCAGACUCUCAGACACUGCUCUGAUGGCAGGAGCUCCCCAGCAACCUGGCAAAUGUGACCAUGACCUGGCAGACAGGACAAAGUCAAAGACCCGCUGGACUCUAAGGUACGAGGGGGGGACGGGCAGGGCUCUGUGUAGAGCGGGAAUGGUAGAGAGAAGAUGCCAUGCCCCUGUUGUGUUUUGUUAACCUGAAAUAAAUAGAGCUAUGGAAUUUAACAAACUGAUCUGAAAGGUGAGUUUCUCCCAUGUGCUGUGUGUAGGAUGCCUGUCUUCCUCUGGCUGAUCUACCCUCAUAGGAACUUGUGCUUUAGGUUUAGUGUGUAGAAAACUUUAGGUCCUAGGUCCACAUUCAAGUGUUUGUCCAAAUGUGAUUGGAUUACCAUUCCUUUAAGCCUGGUCUUAUUUCUUUUCCUCAGAUAGAACUCAUGCGUUAGAAUUUUUCCACCAUCCCUCUGUCUCUGGAGAGAAUCUUGGAGACUUGAAGGUGACUUUUCUGAAAAAUGGUCUCAAUAUAAUUCCAAAAAUACUUUAUAAUUUGGAGCCUGCUCCUCAACCUCCAGCAGAGAUCAAAGAGAUCCCAGAAAAAAUAUUAAGCACCAUGCAUUCCUAGGAGCUGAGCCUUCAGCUGUAAUGAAUCAAUCAACUACCCUUUUAUCAGCCAGAUAUAAAUGGACUUAUGGCAUUUUGGAUCCAAAGGCUACUAGUAUGAGACUGCUGGUUUAGGCUUUGUUUUCAUUAAAAAGUUUGACUCCAAAGGAAGAUCUGUUUCCAAACAGUGUUUUUUACAUCUUCCUGUUAUUUUCACCUUCAAGCUUGCUCAGCCAGUUGGGUAUGAAAACCUUGUUCUUGCUAACUAGUGGCAAGAUCAUGUGUUGAUGGUAUGUAUGGGGUGCUAAUUACUAUCUGUCAUUG
Molecule: long non-coding RNA, 1743 nt
Organism: Ficedula albicollis (Collared flycatcher)
Lineage: Eukaryota; Metazoa; Chordata; Aves; Passeriformes; Muscicapidae
Source: Ensembl